Long non-coding RNA from Phacochoerus africanus (Common warthog), 2321 nucleotides. RefSeq lists it as uncharacterized. NCBI's taxonomy places the organism in Eukaryota, Metazoa, Chordata, Mammalia, Artiodactyla, Suidae. The transcript is spliced from 5 exons. The record is from RefSeq and is a predicted model, not a curated record.
AGCAAGCAGCAUUCACCACGAGCAGCGAGGCGGACCGGCAAUAGCCGGAGCAGGACCCGCUAGCGCCCUCGAUACUGCUGCUGCGAGCGGCAGGCAACGCGGAGCCACCUGGGGCCUCCAUGCUUGGCCGGGGGUGGGGGUGGGGGGCGGAUCGCCCUCUCCCGGCCUGCGCUGCAGCGGCAACACCCAUCUUUACUGCCUCCUCUCCCUGCAAAUGAGGAGAGUCUAAAACAGGCAUUAACUAAAUGCUGCCGGUUGUGCUAGUUUUAACCUCAUUUCAAUCUGUGCCAUGUUUACGGACGUGAGACAAGUGCAGCCUCAAUAAUAAAUGUCCAUCUCUUCUUAGCCAAUGGAGACCUCAGGGCCACCUCAACAACUACACGUGUACUGGAGGAACAUGGGUCGUUCUCUGCAUAAAACUCUGGAGGUGAACAUCAGCAAUACAGAAAUCGAACAAGAGAGGCAUUUUCAUAGAAGAGUUACGCAGAAAAUGGGACGACCUCAGGGGAGGAAAGUGACAGCGUUUGGAGGUGAGAGUUCCAAAGUAGCCGAGGAUGCUCUGCUGGCGAGGGCACACCUUGUUGAAUUCGGCAAACCAGACACGUGUGCGCAACCCACCUGGCCGAACCUCUCCUUCACUGCCACCUCUCCUCCACUGAGUACAUGAAAGCCUGGACUCCCAAGGCUUUCAGUUUCGGAAUAAGCACCCAUGAUGAAGAGUCACAGAAAAUCUAAGAAAGUGGGAGCUUGGCAUCUCCUCACUUCAUCUCAGAUGUCGCAGAGCUUAAGCAAUGGUGAAUAUUGCCUUGUGCUGUUUGGUACCUCGUUCUUGUUCCUGAAACGUCUAGAAACACUUGCUGUCAAAGCCACGAGACAUAGAGAAACACCCCCUGUGGUAAUCUCCCCUUCUCCAAGGCUUCAAGUAGCUCGUUUGGAUGUGUCCUGCCCCAACAGCCUUCCCAGGAGUGGAUGCUGCAUCUGUUGGUCCUGAUCAUCUUCAAUCUGACUUGACCUUCGCCUGCAUCCCACACACAGAAGGAGCAGUGGGCACUAGCGCUCACAAGAACUGACUCCAAGGAGCUCAAAGGUCUUCACUGUCGAGUUUUCCUGUGAAGGCGACAAGGACAGGUGAAAGCUGCACAGGUGGUGGCUGAUGUAGGAACAGAAGCUGGGCUGCUCCACGAGUUGGCUCAGGACCCUGGGCUUCUCAUUUGAUUCCAGGACCCUCUGCAGCCACUCUGUGCUAAUGGGUGCUUCCCUUAAAGUGUAAAAGGGCACCUUUCCCAGCAUCGUGUCCACUGCCCACACUUCCUCGACUACCAACAGAGUGGGAGUGACAAGGUGGACCUCUUUCUGUGAAGGCACAGGGCUCCAGUGUGACCUGAUGCCAUGCGUUUUAUGACAAACAGUGCAGGGAGCUAAGUGAAUCAUCUCUGUUGCUGUCGCCUCUGUGGUUAAACAGACCUACUAACCAGCAGCUGCUACAUUCUUGCUCGCUUAUGCUUGAGGUUUUCUAUUUUAUUUUCACAUUUUGGAACCCUGUAUUUGACCAAAACUUCCAAGCAAGUGUAAACAGAUAUGCAGAUAAAAACAAAGGAGAACCUCAGGAUGGUCCAAGGGGUUACUGUUUGAAAACCACCAUUUUCAACUAAAUGGUGAGGAGGAUAAAUGUGCAGCAAAAAAGGGAAAAAAAGAGGGAUUCAGGCAUUGAGAAGAAAGGAGGUACCUGGGAAACACGUACAAGUGAAAGGUGUAGAAUGGAGCUACUCUGCCCGUUUCUGGGAGAUGUGGCAGGGAUGUCCCACUUUUCGGAAGGGUGGGGUGGUGCCCCACCCCCACGGGGACUGCGUCCACCCCAGGGACAUGUCCCUGCCUCCCUGACUAAGGUUCCCUUCCCCUGGACCAGGUGCUGUGACUCUGGCCAGCCCCAGGUGCUCGAGGUCCUAGGCUGACUCCAGACGAAGUGGAGUCAGGUGGGACCUCUUGCCAUCCGAGGUCCUGGGAACUGACAGAACUCCAAGCCAGGCUGGAGGCUCUUCCACACGAAAGCAGCUCAAAAGUUGGCCGCGUCUCCUUGAUGCUCCAGUGCCUCCAGGACCCCAGGCAGUCGAGUCUGUCCGACGUGACCCAGUUGCUGCUGAGAGGAACAGGCUUCUGGUGGAGACCAUCAUUCCUUUCUCUCUCUCUACUCGCCCUGAGAGGGUGGCCCAGACCAGGGAGCCGCUUCGAGAAGCCCGCAGUCAGGAGUCACUCCGGGCACUUGGACCACAUGUCUGCAGUGUGACCUCCUUUCCUUUCUGUCGGAAUCCACCCCAGACCGG